GGGAGAGAAUGAUUGGUUAUCACACCAGAGCCACAUGAAAUGAGAAGUUGGUGGGGACUCUGCUCCAAGUCAUCCUCACUUCAAAAGCAGCCAUCACUGGACCAUUGCCAGUUUACCUGGGCAGAUCAAAGAAGAGGUGGUGAAUUAUGUAGCAACUCUUAAAGUCUCAACAGGAAGUGGCACCAUUAUUUCUACCCAUGUUUUACUUAACAAAGCAAGUCAGAUGGCCACAGCUCAUUUCAAAGCAGGAAGCAUGGUUGAAAGUCACAAUAGAGGAAAAUGAGAGAAUCUGAUUAGUCAAAUGUGCCUUUGGAAGAUAAAUGACGGUCAUUGAUCGUGUUAGGAGAUUCGAUUUCCGAGUGAUCCCCAAUGCUCAGAAGUGCGGCACAGAACGAACUCCAUUCCACAUCACAUCGCAGGCCAGCGGCUGAUCAGCUUUCAAACAAAAACAAACAAGGCUAAUCAGAAUAACUGCUGAAAAGGUCUGCCUACCAACACCCUAAGAAGGAUCCUGCAAAGAUAGUUUCACCAUUCCCCAGCAACCAUAUCAGGAAAAUUUCAAUUCUAAUAAAGAGAGAAGAAAACUGUCCCCCAGAAUGGAAUAUGUCGAAUGGGAGUGACCUUUGUCCUUCAAAGUCAAGGAAUUGUCUUCUCGGAAGUAGAAAUACCUCUGGAAGAGUUGUCUAUGAGACCCUUGGAAUUGACCCAGAAUCCUGCUGCCACAGGACCUCACAGAAUCUCCUUGAUGCGUCUUUUCUGAUAGGUGAAGGGAAAGCAACUGAAAAUAUGGCUUAACUGCCCUGGGAGGUUGUAGCUGUUGUCUUUUUUAACUACUGUCAGGUUAGGACCUUGAAUUACCUACUAAUGAAACUAAUAAGG
This 879-nucleotide long non-coding RNA is filed under the name Equus caballus (horse). Its description in RNAcentral is "lncRNA (ENSECAG00000043344.2)". Lineage: Eukaryota; Metazoa; Chordata; Mammalia; Perissodactyla; Equidae. The record is from RNAcentral.